Sapajus apella (tufted capuchin) is the source of this 641-nucleotide long non-coding RNA. RefSeq lists it as uncharacterized. The transcript has 2 exons. NCBI's taxonomy places the organism in Eukaryota, Metazoa, Chordata, Mammalia, Primates, Cebidae. The record is from RefSeq and is a predicted model, not a curated record.
GGGGUUUUCACUAUGUUAACCAGGCUGGUCUCAAACUCCUGACCUCCAAUAAUCGUCCUGCCUCAGUCUCCCAAAGUGUUGAAGAUUACAGUCAUGAGGCAGUGCACUCAGCCUGUGUAAACAUAUCUUAACAAGCAACUACCUAGGUCAAGAAAAAGAAAAUUACCAAAGCGAAAAGCUUCCCUGCAUGUCCUGUUCUUAUCACAACUCCCUCUCCCCAGCUCAGAAAUAAUGAGUACCUGACAUAUUUUUAUCUUUUAAAAACUUUUUAUUAUGAAAAUGUCUGAAUGUAAACAAAAGUACAGUAUGCUAAAAUUCCCAUGUAUUCAUCAUCAAGCUUCAACCACGUUUUGUCACAUUUGUUUCCUAUAACCACCUUUCUCUCUGUAUCCCUCCCUCUUCCCCCCCUCCCUCUCUUUCCUGGACUGUUUUAAAGCAAACCCCAGAUAUUAUGUCACUUCAUCCCUAAGAACUUAAGCAUGCACCUAAAAAAGAAGACAUUUCCUUAUGUAAUUACAAAACCAUUAGUAACCUAACAAAAUUCACAAUCAUUCCUUACUGUCAUCAUAGUCAAAUGAAUGUCACUAGGUUCAGGUGUUCCAAAAUUAACUAAAAACAUACUUUGAAAAAUUAUGGACAAA